This 472-nucleotide ribosomal RNA is filed under the name cf. Oscillospira sp. BA04013493. RNAcentral's name for it is "bacterial SSU rRNA". It matches the Rfam family "Bacterial small subunit ribosomal RNA", at positions 1 to 459 of the family's 1533-position model. The record is from RNAcentral. Lineage: Bacteria; Bacillati; Bacillota; Clostridia; Eubacteriales; Oscillospiraceae.
UUUAGAGUUUGAUCCCUGGCUCAGGACGAACGCUGGCGGCGUGCUUAACACAUUCAAGUCGAACGGAACACCCUUGACAGAGGUUUCGGCCAAUGAAGAGGAAUGUUUAGUGGCGGACUGGUGAGUAACGCGUGAGGAACCUGCCUUUCAGAGGGGGACAACAGUUGGAAACGACUGCUAAUACCGCAUGAAGCAGCGAGGGGACAUCCCCUUGCUGUCAAAGAUUUAUCGCUGAAAGAUGGCCUCGCGUCUGAUUAGCUAGUUGGUGGGGUAACGGCCCACCAAGGCGACGAUCAGUAGCCGGACUGAGAGGUUGACCGGCCACAUUGGGACUGAGAUACGGCCCAGACUCCUACGGGAGGCAGCAGUGGGGAAUAUUGGGCAAUGGACGCAAGUCUGACCCAGCAACGCCGCGUGAAGGAAGAAGGCUUUCGGGUUGUAACUUCUUUAACAGGAAAAAAAGCGGACCUGU